GCGGUUGUGAAGAGGAUGCUGUGGAGGUGGCAGCAUGAACGUGUCACACAGACAUUGGCUAAACUACUCGAUGACAUUUCCAGCAUGUCCAACUCAUCAGCAUCAGGGGAGAUUCGGUGGAGGUGGUGCACCAUCCAGGACCAGUCAUGGGCCACCAAAACCUCUGCAAAAUCUACACUUCUUGUGAACCCUGUAGAAGACACUACAACCACAAAACUGCUAAUAAACCAUCACAUACUGCGUCACA
Molecule: long non-coding RNA, 247 nt
Organism: Engraulis encrasicolus (European anchovy)
Lineage: Eukaryota; Metazoa; Chordata; Actinopteri; Clupeiformes; Engraulidae
Exons: 2
Source: RefSeq, a predicted model, not a curated record